GCCUCCUGCUUUUCUCACUAAGGAUGUUUUGGCUAUUCUGGGCUCUUAUUUUUCCAAAUAAAUUUCAUGACUGCUUUUUCUAUUUCUAUGAAGAACAUCAUUGGAAUUUUUAAAGAAAUUGCAUUAAAUCUGUGCAGUGCUUUUGGUAGUAUGGCCAUUUUGAUAAAGUUAAUUCUGCCUAUCCAAGAACAUGGGAGAUCUUUUUGUCUUCUAAGGUCUUCUUUAAUUUCUUUUUUGAGUGUUCUGUAGUUUUCAGUGAAUGCACCUUCUAAAAGACCUUUUGUUAUGAUUUAAUUAGCUUUUGAACAAGACAAAUGUUAGCCCAAACUGCAUGUCAAUAAUAGAAGAUAAUACAAGAACAGUCCUAAUCCAGUCAUAUGGGGGACUCUCAAAAAAGUCCUGGGGAGACACUACCCUUUCAUGUCUAAGGCACCAGAUGAAUCUUAGCCUCAGUUCUAAAUGAGCUUGGAAGGGUCAGGGCCAGAACCAUCUUUUAGAUGAACCAUCUUUUAGAUUCCUACAGCUGCUGUAACAAAUUAUGAUAAGCAUAUAGAAACUUAUCCUCUCAUAGUCCUGGAGGCUGAAAGUACGUUAUCUAGGUGUUGGCAGGGCUAAAGCAUCUCUAGAAUCUCCUGCAGCACCUAGGCUAGAGGUAUUCCUAGCCUGUGGCUACAUUACUCCAGCCACUGCCUGCCUUCAUGUGGUCCUCUGCUUGGUGUCUCUGUCAAAUACCUCUCUGCCUCUUUCUUAUAGGGACACUUAUCAUUGGAUUUACUAAG
RNAcentral lists this long non-coding RNA (779 nucleotides) under Marmota monax (woodchuck). Lineage: Eukaryota; Metazoa; Chordata; Mammalia; Rodentia; Sciuridae. The record is from RNAcentral.